Molecule: ribosomal RNA, 229 nt
Filed under: uncultured bacterium
Lineage: Bacteria
Description: partial 16S ribosomal RNA
Rfam family: Bacterial small subunit ribosomal RNA
Source: RNAcentral
CAUGUAGGCGGCAUGACAAGUCUGGUGUGAAAUAUCUCGGCUCAACCGAGAAAACGCACUGGAAACUAUCAAGCUUGAGUAUCGGAGGGGAAGCUAGAAUUCCUGGUGUAGGGGUGAAAUCUGUAGAUAUCAGGAAGAAUACCGGUGGCGAAGGCGAGCUUCUGGCCAGAUACUGACGCUGAGAUGCGAAAGUGUGGGGAGCGAACAGGAUUAGAUACCCUGGUAGUCC